This is a long non-coding RNA of Lycium ferocissimum, 558 nucleotides long. RefSeq lists it as uncharacterized. NCBI's taxonomy places the organism in Eukaryota, Viridiplantae, Streptophyta, Magnoliopsida, Solanales, Solanaceae. The record is from RefSeq and is a predicted model, not a curated record. The transcript has 2 exons.
AAAAGGAAAAGAGAAACACGAUUGGCAAAAUGACAUGAAUUACUAAAAUGCCCUGCUAGGAACUAGGGUUUAUUACCUCCCUAUAAAUACACAAUAGGAGGCCACAUUCGCUUAAAGAGAGACUCGACGGUGAAUUUUGAGCAAAGAUGAGGGCCAAGUGGAAGAAGAAGCGUAUGAGGAGACUGAAGAGGAAGCGCAGAAAGAUGAGACAGAGAUCUAAGUAGAGCAGGGAUCCAGAUGCCUAGGAUGGUUUCUUGGGUGAAUCUUCUGCCUUCUACUACCGCUGUCCAUCUCUGUGGCAGCUCUGAAGAAUGGAGGUUGUCCGUUGUUUGAAGCUGCAUUAGUUGAUCUACUAUGUUCUAUGAAGGAGCUUAGUUUUAGUUUUAAAGUGCUAGUAAGGAUGUUGAUUUGUGGUUUUGAGAUAACUUGCUAGUUUUGUCUACCAAAGAUGUAUGUCAGAUUAUCUUGAACCUAUUCUCUUUUGAGCUGACGUUAUUGAGAGGAUCUCUCUUUGUCUGGGCUGCAUUUCAUUUGAAUAAAGUUUGGCUAUGAAUAUUA